This 102-nucleotide ribosomal RNA is filed under the name Sinocyclocheilus rhinocerous. The record is from RNAcentral. Lineage: Eukaryota; Metazoa; Chordata; Actinopteri; Cypriniformes; Cyprinidae.
UGCAGUAGGUAGAGUCUGGUUCCUCACAAAAGCUAAGCAGGCCAGAGCCUGGUCAGUACACUGGUGGGAGACCAUUUGUGAAAACGUAGCUUGCUGCUGCAG